Molecule: ribosomal RNA, 393 nt
Filed under: uncultured bacterium
Lineage: Bacteria
Description: partial 16S ribosomal RNA
Rfam family: Bacterial small subunit ribosomal RNA
Source: RNAcentral
AUACGGAGGAUGCAAGCGUUAUCCGGAUUUAUUGGGUUUAAAGGGUGCGCAGGCGGCGCGUUAAGUCAGUGGUGAAAUGUCCCGGCUCAACCGGGGAACUGCCGCUGAUACUGACGUGCUCGAGUACGGACGGCGCCGGCGGAAUGUGUCAUGUAGCGGUGAAAUGCUUAGAUAUGCCACAGAACACCGAUCGCGAAGGCAGCUGGCGAUGCCGGGACUGACGCUCAGGCACGAAAGCGUGGGGAUCAAACAGUAUUAGAUACCCUGGUAGUCCACGCAGUAAACGAUGAGGACUUGUUGUCGGCGAUAGAGUGUCGGUGACAAAGCGAAAGCGAUAAGUCCUCCACCUGGGGAAUACGAUCGCAAGGUUGAAACUCAAAGGAAUUGACGGGG